UGGGGAAUAUUGCACAAUGGGCGCAAGCCUGAUGCAGCCAUGCCGCGUGUGUGAAGAAGGCCUUCGGGUUGUAAAGCACUUUCAGCGAGGAGGAAGGUGGUGAGCUUAAUACGCUUAUCAAUUGACGUUACUCGCAGAAGAAGCACCGGCUAACUCCGUGCCAGCAGCCGCGGUAAUACGGAGGGUGCAAGCGUUAAUCGGAAUUACUGGGCGUAAAGCGCACGCAGGAGGUUUGUUAAGUCAGAUGUGAAAUCCCCGGGCUCAACCUGGGAACUGCAUUUGAAACUGGCAAGCUAGAGUCUCGUAGAGGGGGGUAGAAUUCCAGGUGUAGCGGUGAAAUGCGUAGAGAUCUGGAGGAAUACCGGUGGCGAAGGCGGCCCCCUGGACGAAGACUGACGCUCAGGUGCGAAAGCGUGGGGAGCAAACA
This 427-nucleotide ribosomal RNA is filed under the name uncultured bacterium. RNAcentral describes it as "partial 16S ribosomal RNA". It matches the Rfam family "Bacterial small subunit ribosomal RNA", at positions 355 to 774 of the family's 1533-position model. The record is from RNAcentral.